This 539-nucleotide ribosomal RNA is filed under the name uncultured organism. RNAcentral's name for it is "bacterial SSU rRNA". It matches the Rfam family "Bacterial small subunit ribosomal RNA", at positions 199 to 722 of the family's 1533-position model. The record is from RNAcentral.
GAGGAAAGUUGGCUCUGCGGGCACGCUGAUGGCCUGAGACAGUGAUGCGUACUAUNAGCUAGCUAGUGGGGUAAGGGCUACCAUAGCGACGACGGGUACUGGUCUGAGAGGACAUCAGCCACACUGGGACUGNGAGGGGNCCAGACUCCUACGGGAGGCAGCAGCGGGGAAUUUUGCGCAAUGGGCGCAAGCCUGACGCAGCAACGCCGCGUGCAUGACGACGCCUUUCGAGGUGUAAAGUGCUGUCGACCGGGACGAAUGGGCGAUGGUGAACAGCUUUCGCGCAUGACGGUACCGGUGGAGGAAGCCCCGGCUAACUCCGUGCCAGCAGCCGCGGUAAGACGGAGGGGGCGAGCGUAGUUCGGAAUUACUGGGCGUAAAGCGCGCGUAGGCGGUGCAGCAAGUGGUGCGUGAAAGCCCUCGGCUUAACCGGGGACGGGCGUGCCAAACUGUUGGACUGGAGUGCCGGAGGGGGAGGCGGAAUCCCUGGUGGAGCGGUGAAAUGCGUAGAGAUCAGGAAGAACGUCGGUGGCGAAGGC